GAUGAGAACGUAGCGAAAUGCGAUAAGUAAUGUGAAUUGCAGAAUUCAGUGAAUCAUCGAAUCUUUGAACGCACCUUGCGCCCUUUGGCUAUUCCGAAGGGCAUGCCUGUUUGAGUAUCAUGAACACCUCAACUCUCAUGGUUUGCCAUGAUGAGCUUGGACUCUGGGGGUCUUGCUGGCCUAUGGUCAGCUCCUCUCAAAUAAAUCAGCUUGCCAGUGUUUGGUGGCAUCACAGGUGUGAUAACUAUCUACGCUUGUGGUUUUCCAUCAGGUAACCUUCAGUGAUGGAGGUUCGCUGGAGCUCAUAAAUGUCCCUCCUCAGCGAGGACAGCUUUUUGAACGUUUGAUCUCAAAUCAGGUAGGACUACCCGCUGAACUUAAGCAUAUCAAUAAGCGGAGGA
RNAcentral lists this unclassified non-coding RNA (401 nucleotides) under soil metagenome. RNAcentral's name for it is "partial contains 5.8S ribosomal RNA, internal transcribed spacer 2, and large subunit ribosomal RNA". The stretch from base 5 to 120 matches the Rfam family "5.8S ribosomal RNA", at positions 40 to 154 of the family's 154-position model. The record is from RNAcentral.